GAAGGUAUUGCUCAGUGGUAGAGUGCAUGCCUAAUAUGCACAAGCACAACGUCCUGGGUUCAGUCCCCAGUACCUCCA
This 78-nucleotide transfer RNA is filed under the name Camelus bactrianus (Bactrian camel). It matches the Rfam family "tRNA". Rfam says of the family: Transfer RNA (tRNA) molecules are approximately 80 nucleotides in length. The record is from Rfam by way of RNAcentral. Lineage: Eukaryota; Metazoa; Chordata; Mammalia; Artiodactyla; Camelidae. RNAcentral also lists the same sequence under 1 other name.